GUCCACGCCCUAAACGAUGUCUACUAGUUGUCGGGUCUUAAUUGACUUGGUAACGCAGCUAACGCGUGAAGUAGACCGCCUGGGGAGUACGGUCGCAAGAUUAAAACUCAAAGGAAUUGACGGGGACCCGCACAAGCGGUGGAUGAUGUGGAUUAAUUCGAUGCAACGCGAAAACCUUAACCUACCCUUGACAUGGUCGGAACCCUUAAGAGAUUAGUGGGUGCUCGAAAGAGAACCGAUACACAGGUGCUGCAUGGCUGUCGU
Molecule: ribosomal RNA, 264 nt
Filed under: uncultured bacterium
Lineage: Bacteria
Description: partial 16S ribosomal RNA
Rfam family: Bacterial small subunit ribosomal RNA
Source: RNAcentral